Molecule: long non-coding RNA, 309 nt
Organism: Thrips palmi
Lineage: Eukaryota; Metazoa; Arthropoda; Insecta; Thysanoptera; Thripidae
Exons: 3
Source: RefSeq, a predicted model, not a curated record
UUCAUAGAAAGGCCACUCCCAAAGAUAAGCUUCAACAGAGUGACAACCGAACUCCUUCCAAAGAUGUCUCAGAAGAAAGCCCUAAAGCUGGACCAAGCGAAGUUGUUGCAUCUCCAUCAAAGUCUUCUUGGGUUGUGCAGAAUAAGCCUCCCUCUCAAGGGAACCUGACUCGAACACCAGCUGUGACUCGACCAUCACCUAUCUUUCCGUCCCCUUCUAAAUACACCUGGCCUGUCAACAACCAUGUAUCAACCCAAGGUGCUCAUUGGCAACAACAGGUGCAACAACACUUGCAACAACAAGUUCAAC